GGAGGUCCUAAGGGGUCCUGACGUGCAACUCGGUCCUGUAACUUGGGGCAAGGGGCCAAAAGCCAAUCUAGUUCGGUGAUAGCUAGUUCCUACCGAAGCGGGUCGUAGCCCGGCCUAGGCAGACGUUGCUAACGCUGUAGAGCACCGAUGUGAAAGUAAGGGAUCGAAAGAUCCUCCUUUCGUUUCGAACUCCGAAGGUGUUGGUGCGGUAGAAGCCUGGAUGCGGGUUUGUGUGGGGUAAGCCUCACAACCGAGAGGGGGACAACCCAGACUGGAGUUAAGGCCCCUAAAUAUCGACUAAGUGUCAAACAAAAGGGUGUCUUUGAGCCAAGACAGCAGGAAGAUAGGCUUAGAACCAGCCAUUCUUUAAAGAGUGCGUAACAGCUCACCUGCCGAGCUUGGGGGCCCCGAAAAUGGACGGGGCUAAAGUCGAUUGCCGAUACUCUGGACCACAAGUUAUUCUUGUGUGUGGUAGGUAGGCGUAGAGGUUGGGUAGAAGUAGGGCUGUGAAGUCCUGUGGACCG
RNAcentral lists this ribosomal RNA (524 nucleotides) under Candidatus Woesearchaeota archaeon. RNAcentral's name for it is "partial 23S ribosomal RNA". It matches the Rfam family "Archaeal large subunit ribosomal RNA", at positions 844 to 1367 of the family's 2987-position model. Lineage: Archaea; Nanobdellati; Candidatus Woesearchaeota. The record is from RNAcentral.